This is a long non-coding RNA of Sebastes umbrosus (honeycomb rockfish), 214 nucleotides long. RefSeq lists it as uncharacterized. Lineage: Eukaryota; Metazoa; Chordata; Actinopteri; Perciformes; Sebastidae. The transcript is spliced from 4 exons. The record is from RefSeq and is a predicted model, not a curated record.
UUUGGGUUAUUGCAGAAAAUAAUCUCUGUGGCAAACACAUAACAUAACGUUAAAAUCUCUUUAGCAUGUGUUAACCACAGACCUUAUUUCAGGCAUCUAACUUAAAACCCAUUGACUUCCAAAUGACGGAACCGGAAGUGAUAAAAUGCUAACUCGUGUCCAUGUUUUAGGACUCAUUCCUGUUGCACUCCAUUGUAUAGUACUGACACACACA